GACACUGAUGGUAAUCCCCAUCUAAUGAACAUCCUGCUAACUUGACCUUAGAUUUACCACCAUUCAUACCAGAAGUUUGAAAUCAAUGGAGAGGAGAGUGGCUAUGGAGAAAUAUGCUGAGGAAAACAUGAAGAAAGAAAACAUGACGGCCUUAGUGAAAGAAAUGAUAUUGGCUAUUUCACAGAAGAGGAGGGAAGAAUUCAAGAAGUUUUUCGGGAUUUAGAGUUAGCUAAAAUUUAAGAUGGAUUUUUUGAGAUGUGGCAAUUAUAGACUGGUAGAAUUAAUCUGCUGUGAAAUUGACCAGGAUGUAUUUGACUGCCUUGAUCAACUGUC
Long non-coding RNA from Saccostrea echinata, 333 nucleotides. RefSeq lists it as uncharacterized. NCBI's taxonomy places the organism in Eukaryota, Metazoa, Mollusca, Bivalvia, Ostreida, Ostreidae. The transcript has 3 exons. The record is from RefSeq and is a predicted model, not a curated record.